GGCAGUUCUCAGGUGAUGCACUCCAGAAUCGAGCUCCCUUCUCUCUGGUUCUGGGUGAAUCAGCCGAGAACUGCA
Molecule: non-coding RNA, 75 nt
Organism: Myotis brandtii (Brandt's bat)
Lineage: Eukaryota; Metazoa; Chordata; Mammalia; Chiroptera; Vespertilionidae
Source: Rfam